AGUCUUCAAGUCAGCUACACAGCUUCACUUCACGUAGCACUUCUUGUACGACUUCAUGUAGUACUUCACGACUGGUACAUGGACACCUCGAGGAGUUGUUUUUCUUCAGCUUCUAAAACUCAGUCGUCACUGCACUAACAAUCUCCCCCUUGAUGAUUGAGCUUUAGAAUACACUACAAAAAAGUCUACAUUGAUAGCACAUUUUUAUAGCACGUUUUACUAAACUGCUAUCGUAGAUGAUCAAGGAAUUUUUAUAUUAUAUCAUAGCGUUAGAUAAAUGCUAUAGUAUAAUUAAACGCUACGAUAAAGUUUCAACAAGCUGGAACCUAAAACUAAAUUUUACCUUAAUGAAAAUCACUAAACUAAUCAUUAUCCUUCUCCUAACUCUCAUUUUCCCACCCUCAA
This 405-nucleotide long non-coding RNA is filed under the name Brassica napus (rape). Its description in RNAcentral is "long non-coding RNA (BNAP_LNC019610)". Lineage: Eukaryota; Viridiplantae; Streptophyta; Magnoliopsida; Brassicales; Brassicaceae. The record is from RNAcentral.